RNAcentral lists this ribosomal RNA (898 nucleotides) under Cryptocelis alba. Its description in RNAcentral is "16S ribosomal RNA". The stretch from base 558 to 864 matches the Rfam family "Bacterial large subunit ribosomal RNA", at positions 2074 to 2646 of the family's 2925-position model. Lineage: Eukaryota; Metazoa; Platyhelminthes; Polycladida; Cryptocelidae. The record is from RNAcentral.
CCGAAACUCUAGGAUUAUAAGUUCUUUAGUUCAGAAUUUAAAUAUUAAAAGGGCAUUUAUAUUAAAAAAGAUCUUAAGUACAGAAAUUGUAAAUCGGCUAGAGUCAUAUCUGAUUAAAAGUACUGAAUUUCAUGAUUCCUUUCCCACGUAAAUCGUGGGAAAUGUAGUUUUAGCUUAGAGUAUUAAUAAAUUCAUUGUUUAAGAUGAGAGGUGUCUAAAAUUAAUUGAGUGUUAUAACUUUAGUUAAUCAAAAUAAUGCUAAAUAUAUUAACUUUGAAAUCAACUUAUAAUUUAUACUGAUAGAAUUAGUAUACUAAAUAAAACCAUGGGAACUCGAUAUUUUUACAACUGUUUAUCAAAAACAUCUCCUUUAGUAAAUAAUUAAAGGUAAGACCUGCUCAAUGUUAUGUAUUAAUAGCUGCGGUAUCUUAACUGCACAAAGGUAGCAUAAUUAAUUGUCUUUUAAAUGGUGACGGGUUUGAAAGGUUUAAUGAGAGAAAUAAUAUCCUUGGUUUAAUUAUAAAUUAUAUUUAGAGGUUAAAAUACCCUUUUAUAUAAGAAAGACGAGAAGACCCUGUUGAGUUUUACAAAUAUAUAAAUAUUUGUUUUGAUGGGAAAUUUGGAUUCUAAUUGAAUACUUUGUUGAUCCUGGAAAUAAUUUCUGGAAAAAGGAUUAAAUUACCGCAGGGAUAACAGGACUAUAUUUACUGAGAGUUCUUAUUGAAGUAAAUGAUUGUUACCUCGAUGUUGAAUCGAAAAUUACUCACCGACGCAGCAGUUGGCUAAGAGUAGGUCUGUUCGACCUGUAGAUUUUCACGUGAUUUGAGUUAAGACCGGCGUGAGCCAGGUUGGUUUCUAUCUUCUUUUGUUUUUUUACUGUACGAAAGGAACUAAAAAA